RNAcentral lists this ribosomal RNA (523 nucleotides) under uncultured bacterium. RNAcentral describes it as "bacterial SSU rRNA". It matches the Rfam family "Bacterial small subunit ribosomal RNA", at positions 355 to 896 of the family's 1533-position model. The record is from RNAcentral.
UGGGGAAUCUUGCGCAAUGGGCGAAAGCCUGACGCAGCCAUGCCGCGUGAAUGAUGAAGGUCUUAGGAUUGUAAAAUUCUUUCACCGGGGACGAUAAUGACGGUACCCGGAGAAGAAGCCCCGGCUAACUUCGUGCCAGCAGCCGCGGUAAUACGAAGGGGGCUAGCGUUGCUCGGAAUUACUGGGCGUAAAGGGAGCGUAGGCGGACAUUUAAGUCAGGGGUGAAAUCCCGGGGCUCAACCUCGGAAUUGCCUUUGAUACUGGGUGUCUUGAGUAUGAGAGAGGUGUGUGGAACUCCGAGUGUAGAGGUGAAAUUCGUAGAUAUUCGGAAGAACACCAGUGGCGAAGGCGACACACUGGCUCAUUACUGACGCUGAGGCUCGAAAGCGUGGGGAGCAAACAGGAUUAGAUACCCUGGUAGUCCACGCCGUAAACGAUGAUUGCUAGUUGUCGGGAUGCAUGCAUUUCGGUGACGCAGCUAACGCAUUAAGCAAUCCGCCUGGGGAGUACGGUCGCAAGAUUA